ACUCCCUUCUUUAGCUUCAAUCUAUUUUAUCCUAGAGAAAUUGGUAAUUAUUUAUGCCCCCGACAUAUACAACAAGCGUGUUACUCUUGAUAACCCUUCUGUCUACAUUGUUUCUUCCAUCCAUCCAUCCCAAUUUCAUCUCUGCACUCUGAACUUAAAUUUGUCUCAUUCAAUUUUAAUGGAACUUAUACACAAUGCGAAAAACAACACACAUACAGUGUUCAAACUUUGGUUGUGAGUCAUUUACCUUUUCAGAGUUAUGACUCUAUUUGACUUCGAAAAUUGCAAAGCUUGAUCAGGGGUAUUCAUAUCUAGACACAUUCUUAUUUUUUUUUUAAAUAAAUUUGAUUGGUAAAUUGUGUAAAUCUUUUCUUAUAAGCUAUAUGUAAUGUUGUACUUUUAAAGAAAUA
RNAcentral lists this long non-coding RNA (410 nucleotides) under Mytilus galloprovincialis (Mediterranean mussel). The record is from RNAcentral. Lineage: Eukaryota; Metazoa; Mollusca; Bivalvia; Mytilida; Mytilidae.